UCUCCGUAGGUGAACCUGCGGAGGGAUCAUUACUGAGUGAGGGUCUCCGGGCCCGACCUCCAACCCUUUGUAAUCCAUACCAUGUUGCCUCGGGGGCGACCCGGCCGUUUGGCCCCGGGGCCCCCGGUGGAAACCCAUCAAAACUCUGCAUCUCUGGCGUCUGAGUAGAAAUUGAAUCAAUCAAAACUUUCAACAACGGAUCUCUUGGUUCUGGCAUCGAUGAAGAACGCAGC
Molecule: unclassified non-coding RNA, 233 nt
Filed under: uncultured fungus
Lineage: Eukaryota; Fungi
Description: sequence contains ITS1, 5.8S rRNA gene
Rfam family: 5.8S ribosomal RNA (bases 185-233)
Source: RNAcentral